RNAcentral lists this ribosomal RNA (503 nucleotides) under uncultured bacterium. RNAcentral describes it as "partial 16S ribosomal RNA". It matches the Rfam family "Bacterial small subunit ribosomal RNA", at positions 30 to 523 of the family's 1533-position model. The record is from RNAcentral.
AUUGAACGCUGGCGGCAGGCUUAACACAUGCAAGUCGAGCGGAGUGAUGGUGCUUGCACUAUCACUUAGCGGCGGACGGGUGAGUAAUGCUUAGGAAUCUGCCUAUUAGUGGGGGACAACAUCUCGAAAGGGAUGCUAAUACCGCAUACGUCCUACGGGAGAAAGCAGGGGAUCACUUGUGACCUUGCGCUAAUAGAUGAGCCUAAGUCGGAUUAGCUAGUUGGUGGGGUAAAGGUAUACCAAGGCGACGAUCUGUAGCGGGGCUGAGAGGAUGAUCCGCCACACUGGGACUGAGACACGGCCCAGACUCCUACGGGAGGCAGCAGUGGGGAAUAUUGGACAAUGGGGGGAACCCUGAUCCAGCCAUGCCGCGUGUGUGAAGAAGGCCUUAUGGUUGUAAAGCACUUUAAGCGAGGAGGAGGCUCUUUUGGUUAAUACCCAAGAUGAGUGGACGUUACUCGCAGAAUAAGCACCGGCUAACUCUGUGCCAGCAGCCGCGGUAA